Triticum aestivum (bread wheat) is the source of this 680-nucleotide long non-coding RNA. RefSeq lists it as uncharacterized. The transcript is spliced from 2 exons. The record is from RefSeq and is a predicted model, not a curated record. Lineage: Eukaryota; Viridiplantae; Streptophyta; Magnoliopsida; Poales; Poaceae.
CUGUGUGACCAAUUCAUCCACGCGAUCUCUCUGCAUCCCCGCUCCACUUCGUGCCCUAGGCCUAAUCGCCGCACCGGCGAUGACGGUGAGUGAUGCUUUGGGUUGCUGCCACCAGCCCUACUGCUCCCGGUCCCUUUGGUUGUGUUCAUCAAGGUUCCAGUCAACUGAUUUGGGCAAAUCUUGGAGGUUGGUACUCAUCGAGCCGCCGAUCUUCAAUCUGAUCCAUUCAAGUCAGGCUUGACUGAUUGAUGCAGGGCGAAUCAAGGCGGGCCUGACUGAUUGAUGCAGGGCGAAGCAAGGCCGGGGUCAAUUUUUGUUGGUUCUAUCGGUAACGGCCUCGCUCGACACUUCCUUGGCGUUGACACUUACAUGCGGUGGAUUUUCACGCCCCUACGCCCCUUCUUCACUGGACAAUAAUACAAAGGGUAUUCCAAAUUUCCAUCUUUGCUCCUCCUCCAUGCUUUGUUCCCCCUUUUCGAGUGUUUGUAUUUUGCAACUUAAUUUCUUGUUUAUAUGGUUUAACAUGGAUUGAUUGGUCGAGGAGAGUACGGCAACAAGAUAUGGUGCUAGAGAUAUGGAUUUCCCAGGGAGUCAGCUCGAUGUAGUGUAGUAACCUCGGCUUACCUUAUCUUCGCGGCCUCUGAAUGCCGUUACAAUUUGAAAAUAAGGAUCCUUGAUUA